This 450-nucleotide ribosomal RNA is filed under the name uncultured Entrophospora. RNAcentral's name for it is "SSU rRNA". It matches the Rfam family "Eukaryotic small subunit ribosomal RNA", at positions 569 to 1017 of the family's 1831-position model. The record is from RNAcentral. Lineage: Eukaryota; Fungi; Glomeromycota; Glomeromycetes; Entrophosporales; Entrophosporaceae.
AGCAGCCGCGGUAAUUCCAGCUCCAAUAGCGUAUAUUAAAGUUGUUGCAGUUAAAAAGCUCGUAGUUGAAUUUCGGGAUUGACGUGAUGGUCGUGCCUUACGGGGUAUGAACUGUCGCAGUUGAUUUCUCACCUUCUGGAGAAGCUCGAUGUCCUUAAUUGGGUGUCUUGCGGAACCAGGACCUUUACCUUGAAAAAAUUAGAGUGUUUAAAGCAGGCAUUUUGCUCGAAUACAUUAGCAUGGAAUAAUAGAAUAGGACGGCAUGGUUCUAUUUUGUUGGUUUCUAGGAUCACCGUAAUGAUUAAUAGGGAUAGUUGGGGGCAUUAGUAUUCAAUUGUCAGAGGUGAAAUUCUUGGAUUUAUUGAAGACUAACUACUGCGAAAGCAUUUGCCAAGGAUGUUUUCAUUAAUCAAGAACGAAAGUUAGGGGAUCGAAGACGAUCAGAUACCG